AUGUUGGGCACGUCUCUAGGCCUCGGUGGCUUCCAGAAUCCUCCCAAGAGCUCAGCUCUGCAGAGUGCACAGGCGCCACCAUCCCUGGGAGGAGGCUGGACUCUGGGCCUCCCGUGCAGCUGCAGGGGGCCUGGGGAAGUGGGUGCCAGGAGCUUUUUGUUCGAGGCUGUGUCACUGUGUGGUGCAUUCGGCGGAGGCACCCACCUGACCAUCGCAGGUGGUCCCACGUCUGCACCCUCGGUCUCUCUCUUCCCGCCCUCCUCUGAGGAGCUCAGCGCCAACAAGGCCACAGUGGUGUGUCUCAUCAGUGACUUCUCCCCCAGCGGCUUGGAGGUGAUCUGGAAAGUAAAUGACGCUGUCACCAACGACCGCGUCCAGACCACCAGGCCCUCGAAACAGAGCAACGGCAAGUACGCGGCCAGCAGCUACCUGACACGGACCUCCACAGAGUGGAAAUCGUACAGCAGCGUCAGCUGCCAGGUCAAGCACCAAGGGAAAACCGUGGAGAAGAAACUGUCCCCCUCAGAGUGUCCUUAGGUCCCCGAGUCGCCCACACCCUCAGGGACCUGCUGUCACGGGACCCCUAAGGGGGUCGACCCUUCCCACUCCGACACCUCCUUCUCCCUCCGCCCAAAUCCUUCUCAAUAAAACAUCCUCCUUCUCAAUCAGA
This is a non-coding RNA of Equus caballus (horse), 670 nucleotides long. The record is from the annotation of a RefSeq genome assembly. Lineage: Eukaryota; Metazoa; Chordata; Mammalia; Perissodactyla; Equidae.